GGUCCGAUGCCACGUCGCCGGUAGCUAAAAAAGGGCGGUGACCGGCGAUGCUAUGAUUGGACCGAGAGGAAUCUCAUGUUUCGUCUUCUGAUAGGAACCUGUGGAUCUGAUUCUUGUGGUCUACGGAGCCGUUUUCGGCGAUUACAUUU
Corchorus capsularis is the source of this 149-nucleotide small nucleolar RNA. It matches the Rfam family "Small nucleolar RNA snoR2/U65". The record is from Rfam. NCBI's taxonomy places the organism in Eukaryota, Viridiplantae, Streptophyta, Magnoliopsida, Malvales, Malvaceae.